Molecule: ribosomal RNA, 389 nt
Filed under: uncultured bacterium
Lineage: Bacteria
Description: bacterial SSU rRNA
Rfam family: Bacterial small subunit ribosomal RNA
Source: RNAcentral
AAUAUUGCACAAUGGGCGAAAGCCUUAUGCAGCAACGCCGCGUUAGUGAUGAAGGCCUUCGGGUUGUAAAGCUCUGUCUUCUGGGACGAUAAUGACGGUACCUGAGGAGGAAGCCACGGCUAACUACGUGCCAGCGGCCGCGGUAAUACGUAGGUGGCAAGCGUUGUCCGGAUUUACUGGGCGUAAAGGGAGCGUAGGCGGACUUUUAAGUGAGAUGUGAAAUACCCGGGCUCAACCUGGGUGCUGCAUUUCAAACUGGAAGUCUAGAGUUCAGGAGAGGAGAGUGGAAUUCCUAGUGUAGCGGUGAAAUGCGUAUAGAUUAGGAAGAACACCAGGGGCGAAGGGGACUCUCUGGACUGUAACUGACGCUGAGGCUCGAAAGCGUGGGG